Molecule: ribosomal RNA, 479 nt
Filed under: Segatella oris
Lineage: Bacteria; Pseudomonadati; Bacteroidota; Bacteroidia; Bacteroidales; Prevotellaceae
Description: bacterial SSU rRNA
Rfam family: Bacterial small subunit ribosomal RNA
Source: RNAcentral
GAUGAACGCUGGCUACAGGCUUAACACAUGCAAGUCGAGGGGAAACGACGGGGAAGCUUGCUUCCCCGGGCGUCGACCGGCGCACGGGUGAGUAACGCGUAUCCAACCUGCCUCUGACUGAGGGAUAACCCGUCGAAAGUCGGCCUAAUACCUCAUGGCAUCGUCUGCGGGCAUCCAACGACGAUUAAAGAUUUCAUCGGUCAGGGAUGGGGAUGCGUCUGAUUAGCUUGUUGGCGGGGUAACGGCCCACCAAGGCGACGAUCAGUAGGGGUUCUGAGAGGAAGGUCCCCCACAUUGGAACUGAGACACGGUCCAAACUCCUACGGGAGGCAGCAGUGAGGAAUAUUGGUCAAUGGGCGAGAGCCUGAACCAGCCAAGUAGCGUGCAGGAUGACGGCCCUAUGGGUUGUAAACUGCUUUUAUGCGGGGAUAAAGUGAGGGACGUGUCCUUCAUUGCAGGUACCGCAUGAAUAAGGACGG